Small nuclear RNA from Tupaia belangeri (northern tree shrew), 120 nucleotides. The record is from Ensembl. NCBI's taxonomy places the organism in Eukaryota, Metazoa, Chordata, Mammalia, Scandentia, Tupaiidae.
GUGUGCAUGCCCUCUAGCAAUAAAAAAGAUACAUACACUAAAAUUAGAACAAUACAGAGAAGAUUGGCAGGGUCCCUGGGCAAGGAUGACACCCAAAUUCGUGAAGCAUUCCAUAUUCAA